This is a long non-coding RNA of Dioscorea cayenensis subsp. rotundata (Guinea yam), 124 nucleotides long. RefSeq lists it as uncharacterized. Lineage: Eukaryota; Viridiplantae; Streptophyta; Magnoliopsida; Dioscoreales; Dioscoreaceae. The transcript is spliced from 3 exons. The record is from RefSeq and is a predicted model, not a curated record.
CAACAGCUUGAUGCACCUUCAGUUGCAGCUUCUUACCAAUGGUUUCAAAUUGUUAAAAGCUGGCGGCACGCUUGUAUACAGUACCUGCAGUCUAACCUUUGCACAAAAUGAGGAUGUGGUGGAG